This 1202-nucleotide long non-coding RNA is filed under the name Gadus morhua (Atlantic cod). RNAcentral's name for it is "lncRNA (ENSGMOG00000027010.1)". Lineage: Eukaryota; Metazoa; Chordata; Actinopteri; Gadiformes; Gadidae. The record is from RNAcentral.
GGGUGACAGGGUUUAUGGAUGACGGGGUGAAUUAACUGGAAUACCAACCUGACCAGGGGCUUUGGAAGAGUAAUUGCACCCGAUUACUCAACUGAAUCUCCUCCGACACAGAAAAGAUUUAAAUAUUUCAAAAUGUUCAUUUAAAAUAUUCAACACCGAAAGUAAAAAUAUACAUCCAGGAACGGCUUCGGACGGAGGUCUGACACGGUGUACACAAAGAAAGGAGCCCGUCCAGUACGCUGAGAUGAGUGUGUUCCCAGGGAGAGGCCUCAUGGGUAGGAUGUUGUGCAUCUGUUGGCAGCGCUGUUCCCGGGGGAUCUGAACACAGAAGGUGCUGUGUUGACAAAAUGAAUCAGAAGGCGUGAGUGAGGACAGCGAGCGUUCUGCUGAUGCCAGCGCGUCUCCGGCCGCGUUCUGCUGAAGAAAGGGAAAACCGGCGCCGAGGAAAAUAUGAAUCGGAGAACAAAGAAGGUUCUGCCGCCGCGAUGCCCUUCAGACGCUCGCAGAGGACGGGACAUCACAACAACGAGCGCCUUCUCACUGCCCCGACGACCUCUGCUGUCGGGAGAUCUCCACAUGGCUUUCUGUGGCGUCUAUCUAUCUAUCUAUUCAUCUGUUUGUCCGUCUGUCUGUCUGUCUGUCUGUCUGUCUAUUCAUCCAUCUGGGUUUGUCUAUCCUCUAUCCUGUGUGUGUGUGUGUGUGUGUGUGUGUGUGUGUGUGUGUGUGUGUGUGUGUGUGUGUGUGUGUGUGUGUGUGUGUGUGUGUGUGUGUGUGUGUGUGUGUGUGUGUGUGUGUGUGUAAUGGGGUUGAACCUGAAUCCUGGAGCAGAACUCCUUGCUGCUGCCUGCUCCCACUGCUCCAUGCAACGACCCCCACUGGAUAAAGUGUCUGCCCAACGACUCAACAGCAGACGGACAAAGGUUUAACAUCGCCACGGCAACCCCCACAACUCACCCUGGGCCAAUCAGCGACAGCGACACAGAGAGCGAGCGGGAGCGGAGUCGGAGGAAACAAGAGGAGAUGAGGUGAGCACAGCGGCUCCACCACUGGGCCCCGGUGUCUCUCGCCCGCCGCCGGCUCGCUCUCUUGUUCAACUGUUGCCCCCUGCUGGCCGUCGGGGGUACGGCGCCCCGACGGGAUUGAGACGUCGACAGUAGACAGGCCGGUUCCCUCCACCGCAGGGACAGACAGGCAGGGAGAUG